Molecule: ribosomal RNA, 497 nt
Filed under: uncultured bacterium
Lineage: Bacteria
Description: partial 16S ribosomal RNA
Rfam family: Bacterial small subunit ribosomal RNA
Source: RNAcentral
GAUGAACGCUGGCGGCGUGCCUAAUACAUGCAAGUCGAGCGAUCAGACUUGGAGCUUGCUCCUCUGACGUUAGCGGCGGACGGGUGAGUAAUACGUGGAUAACCUACCUUUAAGACUGGGAUAACUCUGGGAAACUGGAGCUAAUACUGGAUAAUAUAUUUAACCGCAUGGUUCCAUAUUGAAAGACUUUUUUUCUGUUUCUUAUAGAUGGAUCCGCGUCGCAUUAGAUAGUUGGUAAGGUAACGGCUUACCAAGGCAACGAUGCGUAGCCGACCUGUGAGGGUGGUAGGCCGCACUGGAACGGGAACGCGGUCAAGACUCCUGCGAGAGGCCGCAGUAGGGAAUCGGCCGCAAUAGGCGGAAGCAUGACAGAGCGACGCCGCGUGAGUGGUGAAGGUCUUCGGAUAGUGAAACUCUGUUAUGAGGGAAGAACAAAUGUGAAAAUGGCAAUACACAUAUUGACGGUACCUAAUCAGAAAGCCACGGCUAACUACGUG